Molecule: small nuclear RNA, 102 nt
Filed under: Carlito syrichta (Philippine tarsier)
Lineage: Eukaryota; Metazoa; Chordata; Mammalia; Primates; Tarsiidae
Source: RNAcentral
GUGCUUCCUUCGGCAGUACACAUGCUAAGAUUGGAACAAUACAGAGAAGAUUAGCCCUUGUGCUAACACACACACACAAACCGUGAAGCGGUCCAUUUUUUU